Molecule: non-coding RNA, 92 nt
Organism: Mycena galericulata
Lineage: Eukaryota; Fungi; Basidiomycota; Agaricomycetes; Agaricales; Mycenaceae
Source: the annotation of a GenBank genome assembly
GACCCUGUAGCAUAAUGUUAGUGCGUCUCGCCAAUGUACGGUAGUGGCUGGCAUUCCACGAGAGGCUCUCAGUUCAAGUCUGAGUGGGGUCA